UUCCUAUCCUUUUUUUUUUUUUUUCCUAUCCUUUUUGCUUUUAUUUUAAAAAAUUUUUGAUUGACAGAUUCAAUUUAUGAGGAGUAGAUUAGAAUUAUAUGGUGAAGAAAGAUAUUGGAAUGCACCUACUUUUAUUUUGAAUUUUAUGGAGAUAUGCAUUGGAGAAAUGAAAGUGGGUUCAUUAUAGGAUGUCUUCUGUAAAUUAGCAGUCUUGAUCAUACUCGUUAUUACUCCCAUAUAAUGGGCCCCAUUAGUUAAUUUUACAAUUAACUCAUCUGCAUUGUUCAAAGAAGUAACAUUAGGUUUCUUUGAUGGGGUUCAUUACUGAAGGCAGAAAUAAGAUGAUGGUUUCUAGGGUCUUUUGUCUUGGAAUUUUUGUGACUUAUAACAGGUAACUUUGGAAGUGCUAUUUGAAACCUGAAAGGUGCAUUGCAUAUGCGGGUGGAUAUUCUUGAGGCUGACCCUUUUGUCGGAAAGUCGAACUUGAUGCACCAAUUGGUUUUAUGGUAACAAGUUACUGGGUGGAGCACAAGCAAUCACUAAUUAAUUGCUAGAAUUUGUUAGCCUUAAGCUCACUUCGCUUCUCUGUUGCUUUUGUCCGUUUUAACAACCGGUGCUAUCUACUGAAGCAUAUGAUCCUUUUGCUUGCUGAUACAUCAAAUAGAAAGACGAACUCUCGAUGAUGUGCUCGCAUUUCCUUGUGUCUCUGUGGUU
This is a non-coding RNA of Jatropha curcas, 714 nucleotides long. The record is from RefSeq and is a predicted model, not a curated record. Lineage: Eukaryota; Viridiplantae; Streptophyta; Magnoliopsida; Malpighiales; Euphorbiaceae.